CCUACGGGAGGCAGCAGUGGGGAAUAUUGCGCAAUGGGCGAAAGCCUGACGCAGCGACGCCGCGUGAGGGAUGAAGGUCCUCGGAUCGUAAACCUCUGUCAGCAGGGAAGCACGGUCACUGUGCUAAGCAGCAGUGAAUUGACGGUACCUGCAAAGGAAGCACCGGCUAACUCCGUGCCAGCAGCCGCGGUAAUACGGAGGGUGCGAGCGUUAAUCGGAAUUACUGGGCGUAAAGCGCUCGUAGGCGGUAUGUCAAGUCAAGGGUGAAAUCCCCGCGCUCAACGUGGGAACGGCCUUUGAAACUGGCAAACUGGAGUGUGUGAGAGGAUAGUGGAAUGCCAGGUGUAGGAGUGAAAUGCGUAGAUAUCUCGAGGAACAUCAGUGGCGAAGGCGACUAUCUGGCACAUAACUGACGCUGAGGAGCGAAAGCGUGGGUAGCAAACAGGAUUAGAUACCCUAGUAGUC
This 465-nucleotide ribosomal RNA is filed under the name uncultured bacterium. RNAcentral's name for it is "partial 16S ribosomal RNA". It matches the Rfam family "Bacterial small subunit ribosomal RNA", at positions 338 to 795 of the family's 1533-position model. The record is from RNAcentral.